AUUGAACGCUGGCGGCAUGCUUUACACAUGCAAGUCGAACGGCAGCGGGGUAGUGCUUGCACUACUGCCGGCGAGUGGCGAACGGGUGAGUAAUAUAUCGGAACGUACCGAGUAAUGGGGGAUAACCAAUCGAAAGAUUGGCUAAUACCGCAUACGUCCUAAGGGAGAAAGCGGGGGAUCGCAAGACCUCGCGUUAUUCGAGCGGCCGAUAACUGAUUAGCUAGUUGGUGGGGUAAAGGCCUACCAAGGCGACGAUCAGUAGCGGGUCUGAGAGGACGAUCCGCCACACUGGGACUGAGACACGGCCCAGACUCCUACGGGAGGCAGCAGUGGGGAAUUUUGGACAAUGGGGGCAACCCUGAUCCAGCCAUGCCGCGUGUAUGAAGAAGGCCUUCGGGUUGUAAAGUACUUUUGUUAGGGAAGAAAAGGGAAGUGCUAAUACCACUUUUUGCCGACGGUACCUAAAGAAUAAGCACCGGCUAACUACGUGCCAGCAGCCGCGGUAAUACGUAGGGUGCGAGCGUUAAUCGGAAUUACUGGGCGUAAAGCGAGCGCAGACGGUUAUUUAAGCAGGAUGUGAAAUCCCCGGGCUUAACCUGGGAACUGCGUUCUGAACUGGAUAGCUAGAGUGUGUCAGAGGGGGGUAGAAUUCCACGUGUAGCAGUGAAAUGCGUAGAGAUGUGGAGGAAUACCGAUGGCGAAGGCAGCCCCCUGGGAUAACACUGACGUUCAUGCUCGAAAGCGUGGGUAGCAAACAGG
RNAcentral lists this ribosomal RNA (759 nucleotides) under uncultured Eikenella sp. Its description in RNAcentral is "bacterial SSU rRNA". It matches the Rfam family "Bacterial small subunit ribosomal RNA", at positions 28 to 776 of the family's 1533-position model. The record is from RNAcentral. Lineage: Bacteria; Pseudomonadati; Pseudomonadota; Betaproteobacteria; Neisseriales; Neisseriaceae.